ACAUCCAGAGAACUUAGCAGAGAUGCUUUGGUGCCUUCGGGGAACUCUGAGACAGGUGCUGCAUGGCUGUCGUCAGCUCGUGUUGUGAAAUGUUGGGUUAAGUCCCGNAACGAGCGCAACCCUUAUCCUUUGUUGCCAGCGGUUCGGCCGGGAACUCAAAGGAGACUGCCGGUGAUAAACCGGGAGGAAGGUGGGGAUGACGUCAAGUCAUCAUGGCCCUUACGGCCAGGGCUACACACGUGCUACAAUGGCGCAUACAAAGAGAAGCGACCUCGCGAGAGCAAGCGGACCUCAUAAAGUGCGUCGUAGUCCGGAUUGGAGUCUGCAACUCGACUCCAUGAAGUCGGAAUCGCUAGUAAUCGUAGAUCAGAAUGCUACGGUGAAUACGUUCCCGGGCCUUGUACACACCGCCCGUCACACCAUGGGAGUGGGUUGCAAAAGAAGUAGGUAGCUUAACCUUCGGGAGGGCGCUUACCACUUUGUGAUUCAUGACUGGGGUGAAGUCGUAACAAGGUAAGCGUAGCGAG
RNAcentral lists this ribosomal RNA (527 nucleotides) under uncultured bacterium. Its description in RNAcentral is "bacterial SSU rRNA". It matches the Rfam family "Bacterial small subunit ribosomal RNA", at positions 984 to 1509 of the family's 1533-position model. The record is from RNAcentral.